RNAcentral lists this unclassified non-coding RNA (318 nucleotides) under Hevea brasiliensis (rubber tree). Lineage: Eukaryota; Viridiplantae; Streptophyta; Magnoliopsida; Malpighiales; Euphorbiaceae. The record is from RNAcentral.
UCGGCCUACGCCCGGAGUCCCGCCACCGUCCUGUGAAGUGCGUGAGCUCACGCACCUCUAGAAGCCUCGCGUCAUUCUUCCCUUGCCGGCACAUGCACCCUUUUUCUGGUGAUUUCUCUGGCCGUCCCUCUGGCCGUCCCUCUGGCCGAUGACCUUUUCUGUCUGGCGCGCCUCUGACCAACGUGUUUCCACACCUGGUUUGCAUAUUUAUUUUUUUGGUACCUUCUGUUGCCCAAUUUCUUGCUUUCUGCCUCAGUACCUAUUCCGUUAAUUGAAAAAUGACUGAUGGAAAGAAGGAAACCUCUGAAACAAAGGCUG